AGAGUUUGAUCCUGGCUCAGAGCGAACGCUGGCGGCAGGCCUAACACAUGCAAGUCGAGCGGGCAUCGCAAGAUGUCAGCGGCAGACGGGAGAGUAACACGUGGGAACAUGCCCUUCGGUUCGGAAUAACUCAGGGAAACUUGAGCUAAUACCGGAUACGUCCGUAAGGAGAAAGAUUUAUCGCCGAAGGAUUGGCCCGCGUCCGAUUAGCUAGUUGGUGAGGUAACGGCUCACCAAGGCGACGAUCGGUAGCUGGUCUGAGAGGAUGAUCAGCCUCACUGGGACUGAGACACGGCCCAGACUCCUACGGGAGGCAGCAGUGGGGAAUAUUGGACAAUGGGCGCAAGCCUGAUCCAGCCAUGCCGCGUGGGUGAUGAAGGCCCUAGGGUUGUAAAGCCCUUUCGGCGGGGAAGAUAAUGACGGUACCCGCAGAAGAAGCCCCGGCUAACUUCGUGCCAGCAGCCGCGGUAAUACGAAGGGGGCUAGCGUUGCUCGGAAUCACUGGGCGUAAAGCGCACGUAGGCAGAUUGUUAAGUCAGGGGUGAAAUCCUGGAGCUCAACUCCAGAACUGCCUUUGAUACUGGCGAUCUUGAGU
This 595-nucleotide ribosomal RNA is filed under the name uncultured bacterium. RNAcentral's name for it is "bacterial SSU rRNA". It matches the Rfam family "Bacterial small subunit ribosomal RNA", at positions 8 to 647 of the family's 1533-position model. The record is from RNAcentral.